UAAAACGCGAUGAUGGAGUUACGGUUGCGAAUUUCGGAUACUACAGAGAGUCGGCACGCAGGUGAGAGCCGAUGUUGAAGAAGCGCAAUACGGCCUCGCUCCGGAGCGGAAUCCCCUAAGGCGAAAGCUGUUAAGGGAUUACGGCUGGCCCCGUUACAGGCGCCAAUGAGCGGCCGCGGAUAUUUCGCGGCAAUCAGGGUGGUACCGCGAUGAUUUGUAUAUUCGUCCCUGAG
RNAcentral lists this non-coding RNA (233 nucleotides) under Cloacibacillus evryensis. RNAcentral's name for it is "T-box sequence". It matches the Rfam family "T-box leader". Rfam says of the family: Uncharged tRNA acts as the effector for transcription antitermination of genes in the T-box leader family. T-boxes are found upstream of many aminoacyl-tRNA synthetase genes and some amino acid biosynthetic genes usually in Gram-positive bacteria. The anticodon of a specific tRNA base pairs to a specifier sequence within the T-box motif, and the NCCA acceptor tail of the tRNA base pairs to a conserved bulge in the T-box antiterminator hairpin. The record is from RNAcentral. Lineage: Bacteria; Thermotogati; Synergistota; Synergistia; Synergistales; Synergistaceae.